GCGGGAAGAGCUCAAAUUUGAAUCUAGUAGCCUUCGGCUGCUCGAGUUGUAAUCUAGAGAAGUGUUUUCCGUGCCGGCCCAUGUACAAGUCCCUUGGAACAGGGCGUCAUAGAGGGUGAGAAUCCCGUCCUUGACAUGGACCCCCGGUGCUCUGUGAUACACUUUCAACGAGUCGAGUUGUUUGGGAAUGCAGCUCAAAAUGGGUGGUGAAUUCCAUCUAAAGCUAAAUAUUGGCGAGAGACCGAUAGCGAACAAGUACCGUGAGGGAAAGAUGAAAAGCACUUUGGAAAGAGAGUUAAACAGUACGUGAAAUUGUUGAAAGGGAAACGAUUGAAGUCAGUCAUGCUCUUUGGUAUUUAUAUCAUUGAGUGGGGUCAACAUCAGUUUUGAUCGAUGGAUAAAGGCACUAGGAAGGUAGCACUCUCGGGUGAACUUAUAGCCUAGCGUCAUAUACAUUGAUUGGGACUGAGGAACGCAGCAUGCCUUUAUGGCCGGGAUUCGUCCACGUACAUGCUUAGGAUGUUGACAUAAUGGCUUUAAACGACCCGUCUUGAAACACGGG
RNAcentral lists this ribosomal RNA (562 nucleotides) under Naganishia liquefaciens. RNAcentral's name for it is "eukaryotic LSU rRNA". It matches the Rfam family "Eukaryotic large subunit ribosomal RNA", at positions 98 to 664 of the family's 3401-position model. The record is from RNAcentral. Lineage: Eukaryota; Fungi; Basidiomycota; Tremellomycetes; Filobasidiales; Filobasidiaceae.